Cygnus olor (mute swan) is the source of this 1278-nucleotide long non-coding RNA. RefSeq lists it as uncharacterized. The transcript has 2 exons. NCBI's taxonomy places the organism in Eukaryota, Metazoa, Chordata, Aves, Anseriformes, Anatidae. The record is from RefSeq and is a predicted model, not a curated record.
UGCGCAGCAGUUGAACUAUCUUGUAAACGCUUUCCCAGACAGGUAACUCUCUCUCCUCGUAAACCAAAAAUAGAAAGAUUCGUCCAUUAUGGCAGCCAUCUCCUUUUUGCUGAUCGGCACCUCGACCACCUCAAAGUGGAAGGGCGAGUGCUGGGUGGCGUUGAGGAUGAGGAAGCAUGAAGGCAGCAGCACGGUCACCUCGUGGCCCCGGGCCACAAGCUCCUUGAGGAUGUACUCCACAUUGAGCCAGUGGCUGUUGUCAACCGGCCAGACCAGCACCUUCCCACCAGACCCUGAGCCCAGCACAGCCAGCAGCCACAGCACGGCCACCUCCUUGCCAGCCAUGGUCUGCCUUGCUUCGCAGUGCGCCCGUGGCCUUCCUUCACUGGGAGCAGCAGGCCAAGCCAAGCCAAGCUGGGCUGGGCCUGCAUGACACUGCCUUGCACUGCAGGCAAGGGGCCAAGGUAGCUGGUGCAGAAUCCUGUCCUGGAUAACACGUGUUUUCCUGGGGAAAGGGUGACUGGGACCAUCUGGCACCAUCUGGUGGUCAGUGGCUCGCUGAAACUGGGAGACGUUUCCUCUGGAGCAGUGCAGAGAGCUGUGAGCCUGGGGGGACUCCGCCCUGUGCGGGUCACAUCCUGCUAGCUGUCCUGCCCGUCGUGCCUGCCUAACUACAGUCUGCUGGUCUGGGUACAAGAGGUGACUGCCAUUUCUCUGGCAGCUGAAAGUGCAGGUGAUGUUCACCCACAAAAAGGUGCAGGCACCAUUUUGCUUCAUAAAGCUGCUAAGCAUCUGUUUACAUUGCAUUCAACGUGGAAAUCUGGGUCUCGAAGUGGAUGAAGCGACGUGGGAAAGCGAGCGACUCCAGUGUCAGAAUAAAGCUGUCCUGUCCUCACGUGGACUUGCUUACCCAGAGCCAGCCCGGAGGGAGGCCAGAGCUGGGAGGUGAUGGCAUGGGUUGUCCUGCCUGCCACUAGGUGCCAAUAAUGCACCGUAAGUGGAACCAGAAACUACGCUAAAUUGCUUUAGCUGUCGCCACGCUCCUGAUUUGCAGGAGCCGCUGGCUGCGUGUGAAGAGUGUCAUUAGAGGGUCAUCCAGCAGACCACAGAUGCAUCAGGAGCAAAACCAUGCCUAUGGGCUGGCAGGCAAACGCACAAGCCAAAGGAAGCAAGAGGGGGGGAUGUUGGAAAGCCCAGCUUUGUAUCAAAGUAGGUGUGCGAGAGGUUCGGGGAGGGAGGAAAAUGCCUGGAACAAAUAAAAAACAAGUCAUUCAUGUG